GCCGGUGAUGACUAUGUAAAUCUUAACAGAAGCACAGAAUCUGUGUAUCUAUGUUGAAACAAAUUAUCAUGAACUAGGACGGUCUGAGGC
Molecule: small nucleolar RNA, 90 nt
Organism: Rosa rugosa (rugosa rose)
Lineage: Eukaryota; Viridiplantae; Streptophyta; Magnoliopsida; Rosales; Rosaceae
Product: small nucleolar RNA snoR20a
Exons: 1
Source: RefSeq, a predicted model, not a curated record